RNAcentral lists this ribosomal RNA (530 nucleotides) under uncultured bacterium. RNAcentral describes it as "bacterial SSU rRNA". It matches the Rfam family "Bacterial small subunit ribosomal RNA", at positions 355 to 896 of the family's 1533-position model. The record is from RNAcentral.
UGGGGAAUAUUGCACAAUGGGCGGAAGCCUGAUGCAGCGACGCCGCGUGGGGGAUGAAGGCCUUCGGGUUGUAAACUCCUUUCGACAGGGACGAAGCGUAAGUGACGGUACCUGUAUAAGAAGCACCGGCUAACUACGUGCCAGCAGCCGCGGUAAUACGUAGGGUGCGAGCGUUGUCCGGAAUUACUGGGCGUAAAGAGCUCGUAGGUGGUUUGUCGCGUCGUCUGUGAAAUUCCGGGGCUUAACUCCGGGCGUGCAGGCGAUACGGGCUGACUUGAGUGCUGUAGGGGAGACUGGAAUUCCUGGUGUAGCGGUGAAAUGCGCAGAUAUCAGGAGGAAUACCGAUGGCGAAGGCAGGUCUCUGGGCAGUAACUGACGCUGAGGAGCGAAAGCAUGGGUAGCGAACAGGAUUAGAUACCCUGGUAGUCCAUGCCGUAAACGGUGGGCGCUAGGUGUAGGGGGCUUCCAUGUCUUCUGUGCCGUAGCUAACGCAUUAAGCGCCCCGCCUGGGGAGUACGGCCGCAAGGCUA